GAGAGAAAUCCACCGGUCGUUCUGUAAACAAUUUCAUCGCAAACAAGCUCGUUAUUUAUUUCUGCAAGUUUAUGGGAUUUUUUAACGAGUUUUUGUGUGAUUAUGUUGUGUCGUAUGAUUAUGUGUCUAUUAUAUAUCUAUAUUUUUAUGUCGAUGGAUCCCUAAAUCUCUAUAUCGUAUAUUUAUUUCUCCAUCCGUACAUCGUAGUUUUUCGAUACGAUUCAUUAUCUUAAAUCUAAGUUAGCGUUACACCACAAACGUCAAAUUUAGGACCUAGUCUCUAUAAGUUUCUAUAUUUCUAUAUCUUUAUGUCGAUGGAUCCCUAAGUCUCUAUAUUGUACAUUUACUUCUCUAUCCAUACAUUGUAGAUUUUGGAUAGGAUCCAGUAACCUAAAUCUAAGUUAGCGUUACACCAUAAACGUGAAACUUAGCACCUACAGCCCCUAGUCUCUAUAAGUUUCUAUAUUUCUAUAUUUUUAUGCUUAUGGAUUCCUAGAAGUAUCUAGAAGCAGGCUGAGUCUGCAUAUUUUUAUAUUUGUAAGUCCAUAGAUUCCUAAGUCUGUAUUUCUAGAUCUACAGAUACCUGGAUCUCCAGGCUGUUACAUAUAUUCCUAGGUCUACAGAUUUUUAGGAUUCUGUGGUUCAGUAUUCCUAUAUUUCUAGAUCUGUAAAUUUAUAGGUCUCGAUAUCUUUAGAUUUCAAUAUGUAUCUCUGUACUUCCAAGUCUGUAGAUCCCUAGAUCUACGUAUUUGUAUAUUUUUAUAUUCCUAGCUUUGUAAAUCUCCGUAUUUCUACAUGUCUAGGUGUCAACAUCUCUAUACUCCGCUUCUUCUGUACUUUUAUGUUUUUUUGUCAUCCCUCCACUUCUAUAUAUUUCCUGUACAAAUUCGCGUAGAAGAGAUUAAUUCAAAUUCAUCUUCGUUCUGUUUGAAGAAAACAAAAGUAGCACGAAGACAUUUAGUUAAAGAAAUAAACAUAAUAAUCGAAGGUUACUAUUUUAACGAGUGGUUAACGUAUUGACGGGAAACAGUGUAAACACAGUUCAGAACAAGAGGAAUUUGACCACGAUCUCCGAAUACGCAAGAUUCUUCGUCAUCUUCCAAUUUCUUUACCUCAAAAAAAAAAAAAAAAAGAAAAAAAGAAGAAGGAAGAAGGAAGAAAAUAUACGAAUGCCAUUAAUUGCCACGAUUCGAAGCUAAUCAAACGCACCACCAGACGUUAUACGAAACCCUAACGAAACCGAAAGGAAGCGUAACCGACAGAGAAAAUGCCUCUAAAAAGCUACCUCCCCGGUUCUUAUCUCGGUGGUCAGAAAAUCGACUGAUCAAAUUGGGUCAGAUAUGUGCCGGUACACAACUAUAAGGUCCUCGACAGCAGCCCUCGGCCGUGGGCAAUCGUGAAUGUAGGUCUGGCCAAGCACUUAGCCGAUAAUUGACUAAUUUUCUCGAAGACCGAAUCGAGAAGACAAGAGGUAAGAACAAGCUUCCCAUAAAUGAACAAAGAUGCGAAGACUGGUAAUCGUUUAGUUGAUAUCGAGAUCAGAAGAAUGAUAGAAGCGUUUUCUCAAGAAGAAGAUGGGACUAAAUCGUCUGAUCACCGUUGAUCAGUAAUCCAACUAACAUCACGAGGCGUAUUCCGAAAAAGUUGAGCUUUUAAAUUACGCAAUUAGAAUACGAGAAUUCACUUGAAACAGCAGAAAUAUGAACGUGAUUCUGAAUCGGACGAAUAUGAUCGUUAUUUCUGACGAAGAAACGAUAGCAAGAAGGACAUCUUUAAAAAUCCUUAGGAUUUCCCUUUUCUUCGCAUGCGUGAAAUUAUAUGAGAAAACAGGAUUCGAUAACGCAAACUGACCGAAAGAAAAAAAGAAAGAACAUUGCAAACGAGAUAUCACUUUAACAAAACUUUGAUCAUUUCGAUAUGUUUGCGACGUUUUUAAACUUUCAAGAGCGAUAUUCAAUAUCGCGGACUUGUUCCCAGUUUUUAUAGAGUGUCUUUCUUUUUUUUUUUUCCUGCCGACGUAGAAUUCCAAAUAUGAUUUAUGAGCAAUUGAUUAUGUAGGACACAUCGUGUUGUUAAUCCGAGCUAAUUGAUGCGAAGCAACGCGAGCGGUCGCGUGUUUAUCGAAAAGUCGAUACAUGUGUUUAGCGGUAAUUACGCAUUGUUAGGCGGAUACGAAACUGCACGGGGGUUCCAGCAAUUGCAAUUAAACGCUUGCAUUAGCUACGCGAUGCGUGAAAAUUUUAAGCGUCAUCGAGUUUAUAAUAGGAAGCUAACUUUCCAUUUUAUCAGCUAUAACUUUCCCCUGAAGUCGUGAUCGCCCGUUUCGCCUGUCUGAUCACCUGUCCUCAAAGUCUUUUUACCUUUCCAAUUUGUUACCCAACUUUCGUGUAUGCAGCUCGUUCGAUCCGUAAUAAUUUUAUUACGAAAACAAAAUCUUGUAUUCGCUUUAAGAAAAGUCGAAUGUAUUGUUCAAUUCGUUGUUCAGAGGGCAAGACGUUGGAACUUUCACGUGUUCAAAUAAAAGUUUAAAUAGACGUUCGAUGUUCAAACGCAUAAGUAGCAAGUCGCUGACGAGUAGAAUACAUACACGACGCUUUGAAUUCGAGUUUACAAAACGAUAUUGCUGACACAAAGAUUUUAAGAAUUGUAUGGGCAAUUAUAAACAGAUUUCAGAGAUAGAUAGAUAUUCAAAGAUAUUACGAAUACGAUGAUUCAGAUACGUCGCCAAUAGCGAAAAUCACGAUCUAUGAUUCAUAUUUCAUUUCAUAAGAAUUCUUUUCGCAAACGUUGAAGUGAUUCUUGCACGAAUCGCUUUAAAACAUAACUUGCAAACAAAUUGUACGUUAGACAAGAUAUAUACUAGUUACGAUACGUUCUCGUAAUUCUUAAUCAUUUCUAGCGCUAAUGUAAGAUCGUAUAUCAGACGAGACAUAUGAUAUACUGAUUGUGAUAAACUCUCGUAACUGUUAAUCGUUCCUAGUGUCAAUAAUUCCAUUUUUUUUUAUAAAAACGCGGAAAAACAUAGAUAUUUUCGUUCAAUUUUAUACCAUCACGGUCUCAAAACUUACUAAUCUUUCGCGAAAUUGUCAGGCGAGAGUUAAACCCUUAAUUACAUAAUUACGCGAAAGUUAAACCCUUGAAAAAAAUGUGUACACGUUAGCUGUUUUAUUUGUAACGCAUAUCGAGCCUGAAUCUGCAACAAUCUUUUCUAGAUUCUGUUGUAAACGAAGUCUAGCUUUAAUUAUUAUCAGGAUGGAAGAAUAUGAGAUUUGCUUACCGGCAGGCGAUGUAACGGAAACGGAUUGACCGGUGCAUUGCUGAUUAGAAUUCUGGUUGCCAUUGCUUCCGGCGCUGGUGUUCAAUUUCCUCAAUUGUUUCUUGUGCUUCAUCCGCCGAUUUUGAAACCACGUUUUCACUUGGGUCUCCGAGAGGUGAAGAGCCGCCGCGAGCUCUACCCUCUCCGGUGUACUCAGGUACCUCUGCACCUCGAAUCUAGCUUCCAAACCCGCUAAUUGUUGAUCACUGAACACCUAAAUACGACACAAACGAUUUCUUGCAAGCCUGUACGAACUUUUACUUAUUUCGACAAUAGCGUUUUUAGUAAUUUCGUUCUGUUUGAUAAAAUUACUUGCACGAUCGAUCGAUAUUGUUUCGACGAUUAAAUUAUUUCCCGUGACAUUUCCACGAACGUUGUUAACCGUUUGUAUUUAAUCUUGUCAUACCAAAUUCAUAUAGAAUUUCAUUAGUAGCAUACUUAGGAAGCCGAAGGUAAAAUAUCGCAGCUGUGAAAACGAGCAAAGAUAGAAUUUAGGUGAUCGGACAAUGGAAUUUUCUUAGCGCAACAAACCACUUCAAACAAGCUUACGCUUAUUACUAAAUAGCUUUGGUUUCUCUAUUGGCUAAAUUACCAGGAAACGUUAAUAACAGAAGCUAGAGCGACAAUGUAAAAAUUAAGGAAAGAAUACAGUUGCGAAAUUUACUAUGGAAGAGCUUGGCUCGACAUAAGAAACAUACACAGAAUGCUUCGAACCCUUGCUUUGCCAUUUUCUUAGUAGCUAUUUAAAUGAAGUUAAUUUAAGAUGUAACUGUCCACUGUUGUAACACCAUGUCGGAUGCAAAAUGUCGUGAAAUUUAAUCCGGUUAAUGUUUAAACUAAAAUUAAUUCAAUCUAAAUUUCUAAUAGUUCAAAUCACAGUUAUAAGUAAACUUCGUGGCUGAAUUGGAAGUACGAUCCGCGUUACGAGUACGAUUCGAUAUUUUAACAUUAGAAUUGCCAAUUAUAAUGAAAGAACUACGACGAAAAUAAAUCUAUAAUCAUAAUCAUUCUUAUUCCAAUGAGAUCAAUAUCGAUUUCGUGAAUAGCGCAUUUGUAUGUUUUCAGUAAUUAAAAGAAAAUGAAGGAAUUAAAAAGCAAGUCUGUAUAGCCGUAACGUUCCGGUAUUUUUAUCUUCGUAUCGAGACGAGUGAAUCAUGCAAACGACCACCAGUGGAAGAGGCAAAAGAUAAGGAUUACAAGUGGUUUCACUCACUGUUCUUGCCUUUCGUCGACGGCAGUGCUUCAAGGCCGCAAGUUCAGUAACUCCCGGUACCACGCCAACCCCCAUCGCCGUGUUACCAAAAAGUGGUCCCAGGAAGAAGGUUGCCGUAGGCGGUGCAGAAGGAUAACCAGGUGCUGAUGAUGAAGUUGAUGAUGAGAAUGCGGUGGAGCGGUUCCACGACUCAGGAUAUCUUCUAUCAAAAACGAUGUUCUGCUCGCGGAAGUUCCAUUCUGACCUGGCUGGGCCUGUUGUUGCUGACAAGUGGACUGCAUUUUUACCAAAAUGA
Molecule: long non-coding RNA, 4824 nt
Organism: Bombus impatiens (common eastern bumble bee)
Lineage: Eukaryota; Metazoa; Arthropoda; Insecta; Hymenoptera; Apidae
Exons: 4
Source: RefSeq, a predicted model, not a curated record